Molecule: unclassified non-coding RNA, 148 nt
Organism: Macaca fascicularis (crab-eating macaque)
Lineage: Eukaryota; Metazoa; Chordata; Mammalia; Primates; Cercopithecidae
Rfam family: Metazoan signal recognition particle RNA
About the family: The signal recognition particle (SRP) is a universally conserved ribonucleoprotein. It is involved in the co-translational targeting of proteins to membranes.
Source: Ensembl
GCUGGGUGUGGUAGCGCACACCUGUAAUCCCAGCUACUAGGGAGGCUGAGGCAGGAGAAUUGCUUGAACCCAGGGGGUGGAGGUUGCAGUGAACCAAGAUCGUGCCACUGUACUCCAGCCUGGGCAACAGAGUGAGACUCUGUCUCAA